UCCGAUCCAUCCCUACGCACUUGAUGGAUGCCAUUACAUAUUUAUUAAUUUUCGAUCGUCAUUGUUGAAGAAGAUGCGCACAAGACCGCCCGUCCGGAUUGGUAAAAAUUAAUUAAGCACAGUAGGCAUAUAUAUAGCUAGUAGUAAUUAGAAAAAUUAACAAAUGCCUAGCUACACACACACAAGCCUGAAAUCUCUCAUCCCAUCUCAUGUAGUGCAUGUGCCGCCUGCCCAUAAACCUAACUAGCUAGCUAAUGGAUUCCAUCUCACCAGCCUUCAGUUAGGUAAAAAAACAAAAGAGAGGGGCUUGCACAUGCACAUGAAAUAU
RNAcentral lists this long non-coding RNA (328 nucleotides) under Panax ginseng (ginseng). Its description in RNAcentral is "long non-coding RNA (PGIN_LNC010740)". The record is from RNAcentral. Lineage: Eukaryota; Viridiplantae; Streptophyta; Magnoliopsida; Apiales; Araliaceae.